This is an RNA transcript of Portunus trituberculatus (swimming crab), 1451 nucleotides long. It is a transcript of the gene named tRNA N(3)-methylcytidine methyltransferase METTL6-like, with no coding region annotated. The record is from RefSeq and is a predicted model, not a curated record. The transcript is spliced from 15 exons. Lineage: Eukaryota; Metazoa; Arthropoda; Malacostraca; Decapoda; Portunidae.
UUGUUGGCAGUGUUGAGGCGGCGUAGUGAGGUGACGUCAAGAUUCUGUCUCACUUCCUCGGACGCGGCACCAGGAGAGGACGACACGUAAACCUUCUUCUGUUUCGGGAGUGAGAAUGCCAGUAUGGAUUCAGAAGAACAGAACCAGGUUAUGGAAAAGCUGCCAGCUCUGACAGAGUCACAGAAACAGUCACUGCUGAAGCAGGAUGCGCGGGGCCUGGUGCCCGCUUUUCAUCAGCAGAAGUUGGAGAAGGAAGCUGCCAAGAACUGGGACAAGUUCUAUAAGCGCAAUGAGACCAGGUUCUUCAAAGACCGUCAUUGGACAACGAGGGAGUUUCAGGAGCUUGUUGGAGGUGGGGAAGUAUCUCGGGUGCUUUUAGAGGUUGGAUGUGGUGUUGGCAACUUUAUUUAUCCUUUGCUUGAAGAUGACCCAAACCUCUUUGUGUAUGCUUGUGAUUUCUCCUCACGAGCAGUCCAGUUCAUCAGGGAAAACCCCAAAUAUGAUCCAGCCAGGAUUCAUGCCUUUGAGUGUGACAUUGUUAAGGAAGAGUUGAGCAGCAAGCUGGAUGGUAAUAAAAUGGAUAUAAUCAGCAUGAUAUUUGUGCUGUCGGCCAUUCAUCCUGACAAGUUCAAGGACGUCAUUGGCAACCUGUACCGGUGUCUGCGUCCUGGUGGCGUGGUGUUAGUGCGGGACUACGGCCUAUACGAUAUGGCCAUGCUGAGGUUUGGGCCAGGCAGCAAGCUAGGCUCACAGCUGUAUGUGCGCCAGGAUGGGACCAGGGCAUAUUACUUCAAGGACGAGCUAGGCAGUCUCUUCCAAGAGGCUGGGUUCACUGCUGCUAGUUGUCAUUACGUGGCUCGCCAAACUGUAAACAAGAAGGAAGGUGUUAAUGCACGGAGGAAUUUCAUUCAAGGGAAAUUCUUGAAGCCUACAGAAUGAGAGCCUGGGUUUUUCUAUGUCUGGGACAUGGGAAAGUCCAGGUUUGUGCUGGAAGCAUCAAGAUCAUUCAGUCCUGGAGAGAAUGGGUGAGGACUCAGCACUGCUGUCUCCAAACAGAUACAGCACCCAACUACCUGCAGAUGAUCUUGGGCAUGGUUAAGCUCAUUUUGUCAAUACGGUGCCCAAAAUCAAAUAUUGAAGACUGGGUUGGAAUGUCAUUUAUUUGAAGCUUGGGAAUGUUGGAUUUGGUGUUAGUGGUGGCUUGCAGUGGUGUUAUGGAAGUGUUAUGAUGGAUCUAUGGAGAUACGCCGGUACUUGGUGCUUUGAUGGUGGUGGAGUCUUGAGUCUGUCAUGUGAAGUGAGCUUCAAAGUAAUGAGGUUGUGUGUGGACUGCAAGAAUGGUUUACCCUGUGCUGCGUGCUGGCAUUGCUGCUGCUUGAGCAAUUGUCUGAAUAGACAUGACUGAUCCCAAAUAGGUAGCCUAAAUUAGUACAGUAUUUCAAAUAUUUUUA